GGUGGAGCGUGGGCAGCCUGUGGGAUGAGCGGGGGAGGGGAAAGGGGAAGACAAGAAACCUGGGGAGAUCAAGGGACAGCAAAAGGUACAGCAUGCUUGAGGUUGGAAUGCAGACUAGAAGCUGGAGCAACUGUAUUGUCCCCGUAAGGUGACAAGAAGGAAGAAAAGGCUCCUGAACAUCCUCAUGGUGAUAACACCUGCUCCCUUGCAGCAUUGUCUGAGUGCUGCAGCAAGUCAGGGUUGCCCCCGAGAAUGCUUGAUACAUCAAAUAAAUACUGCAUGUCACCAAAUCAAAGAUGCUGUUUCCUGUGACACCACCAUUGUUCUGUUAAGUCUACCUCCCACUAAGAAUGAAAAGGAGCUGACCAUGAUACAAUAACGAUGCUUUCCCUCACAUGGACUGGAAGUGAUGACUAGCUCUGUAGAAUACACAUGGAAAACAUGUCUUCCUGGAGUCAGUGAAAUGGAAAAUGCUCUUCUUGGAACCAUUGAACCAUUAUGCUAUGUGUGUGUGUGUGAGGGAGUGUCAUGUACUCACAACUAGUUUAGACUGAGAUUAACUGAUGUAUUCAAAAGCACAGAAGGCAUUUACUCAGCAGGCUUUGCUGAGAAAGCUAGGUUUUGCAGGCUGAACCCAGCCAGCAUCAAGGCAGGCUCGUUCCUGGCGUGUUUCUUUGCAGCAGUACACUCUUGCAGGUGAUAUUCCAGUGGAGUUCAGCACAUGAAAUGAGUUUCCUGAAGAGUGGAAGAAGAAAGGUUGGGAUGGAGGUGACGUUGUUUCUCUGCUGCCAGUGACAUCUCCAUUAGCAGCUGAGACUCCAGAUGCUGCGGCUGCAUCUCCUCCAGUGAUCCUGGGUUCCUCUCCUUUUGUCCUUUCUUUGUUAAGAUAGGGCGCACUUAUGUAGCCGGGGCUAGAUUAGCACUCACUACGUAACUGAGGAUGACCUUGAACUCUGAAUCUUCCUGCCUCUACUUUUCAGUACUGGGGAUCAAAAUCAGUGCUCCAUAUGGCUAGGCAAGUGCCCUAGCAACUGAACUCCAUCCCAGGCGUCUUGCCCUUUUACCUCGGGAAUUGUAAAGGCUUCCUCCUUUGCUAUGUCUGGGUAGCCCUCCCUACUGUGGCUUUCCAACCUGCCUGUCACCCAAGUACCCAGCUUCUUAUAUUAAAAUCUCUCUGCCGCCUUGAAGCAGUGAUGGGAUUUUGUUUCCCUUAGCAGAACUUUUAAAAAGGCUGUGUGCUGAGUCUCAAGCUGAAGGUUAUUGUACCAAGCCAGAGAAAUGGGAACUCUGGCGGAAGAUGAAUGAGACUGGAGAGAAGGCUGCCUCCCCGGUCACCCCAAGCACAGAACACAGUGAGGAGACAGUAACAUACAAGGAGACAGUGAUGCCCACUGGAAAAGGUAGCUGGCAUGCACCCUGAGCAAAGGGCGUGUGGGAAGGCUCAGUACUUCCCUUUCCUGGCUGUUGCUUGGAGGGCUCAAAGGCAAAUCAGUUCAGGGGGAAGUGGCCAAUGCAUGUUACCUUCUCAUCUGUAUCAGCUACUUUUCUGUUGCUGUGAGAGAACACCAUGACCAAGGCACCUUAUAGAAGGAAGUUUAUUUGGGUGUAUGGUUCCAGGGGACAUGGCAGGGAAGCAAGCAGCAGACCCAGCAGCAGCAGGAAGCUGAAAGCUCACCAUCCUCCACCAUGAGCUUGAAGCAGAGACAGAAAACUGGAAGUGGUGGAGGCCUUUUGCUCUCAAAGCCCGCCCCCAGGGAGUACUUCCUCCAGCAAGGCCACUCCUCCUAAGCCUCCCCCAAACAGUGCCGGCAGCUGAGGUCAACUGUUCAAAGCCUAAGACUAUAGUGGACAUCUCAUUCAAACCACAACAUCCAACUCCUCAUUCUUCAUACACCCACAUGCCUGCUGGUUACACUGGGUGUUCAGACACCUUUCAGGCACUGGUUCAUCUCAGCCUGGCAGAAGACUUUGCCUCACCCAGAUGUGCUGAACUGGGAGAUGAUGCAGCAAACAGAGGAGCUUUAGAAUACCUCCCUCUGGUGGCAUUCUGAAGGGGGUGGAGCUGUCAAGACCAUGAGUGAGAUUUAAAAAUGGAAGUGCGGGGGUGUGUGUGUGUGUGUGUGUGUGUGUGUGUGUGUGUGUGUGUGUGUGAAUGGAAAUGGACAGCCAAAAGGAGUAAACAUUUGUGAUUACAUGGUUUUUUGUUUUGUUUUUCUGGUAGGAAAGCCUUGACCUUCCUUUGUGAGGAAGGGCUCCUACUCUCAGCCUACAUGAUUUGGGUAAGGUUAACACAACCCUGUUCAUGGGAGGAGGCACAGCCUAGUCAGUCCGUGGGUGGCCAAGGUAGACACUGUGCAAGAGGAAAACUCUGCCUUAUCUGUGCUGAUGUGAGGAUGCAAGUCUGGAACUUCUAGCACUCAUCCUGCCGUCAAGGAAGGAGAGCACUCAGGCUGUAGCUGAGACCCAGGAAGCAGAGAGAGAGAGAGCACCAAGGUCCAGUGACACUGUGGAACUGCUGCAUCAACUAGGCCCCAACCCAGGACUAUCUUCUAGGAAUUUCUGUUGUGCCUCCCAGUAAACCCCUUUCUCUAAGCCUGUCUGAGACGCAUUUUCUCUCCGUCUCUUUCUCUCUCACACACACUGAAAGAUUCCUAUGGGGGACAUCUCUGUGUUCAUAGAGAGUCAUUCAUAUAUUAUCAUUUUGUCCCUCCCUUCCUUCUUUCUUCUAUGAAAAAAUUGUAACCACUAUUCAAUACAUCUAUGUAUUCACACACAUCUUGGCACCGAAAAGCACUUCCAUUUGUCAAAUGGGGAACUUAAAACACCACUUGUCUAAAUGAAAAGCCCUCUGUCAUUGCUGCAUGCAGGCCAGGGAUGGCAGGAUUUGGUUUCAAUACGCUUUCUUAAUUUUCAUAGUACAGGGUGUUAGAUACAUCAUUAACUCAAAUCUGAUUGGUUCUAGGUUACUACCCAUACAUAUGAGGAACUUAGGAAUGAUACUCGAAGGUUUUUUUUUUUAAUCAAAACCAAAAAGGUCUGGGAAUGUUGCUCAGUUGGUAGACUUCUUUGUCUAGUAUGCACAAGGCUCAAGGUUCAAUCUCCAAAACUGAGAAAAACUAGAUACAGUGGAGCAUGCUUGUAAUCCCAGCAUUUCCAAGGUGGAAGCAGAAAGAUCAAAGUUCAAAGUUCAGGGUUAUCCUCUGCUACAUAGUGAGUUCAAGACUUAACUGGGCUACAGACUUGGAAUAGAAUAGAGGAGAACAGAAUAGAAAAUGAAAUAGCUUAUUACAUGGUUGUUUAAAACCCACAGAUAUUUAUUAAUACUUAACUAGUGAAGUUUACUACUCAGAAUGUGUUGGCAAAUGUCUGACUGUCACAUAGGUUGGGCUGAGAAGCACUUAGGACUUUAGCAAAGCUCACCUCUGGGUGAGGAUGUUCAAGACAGGAUAAACAAGGAGGCUGACUCAUCCUAAAGGCUGGGGCUUGGGAGGAGCAGGAGGUAAAGGGGAAGCAGACGGAGCGCUCUCCUCCCGUGCUUCCAGACUGCCAUCUGUGAGCCGUGCUGGGCCUCCAGAGAGAUGGAAACCUCUAACCCUGGGAGUGAACAAUGCUUUCCUUCUUAAGUUGCUUCCCUAGGUGUUUUGUUAUGGUGAUGGCAAUCUGGGAAUCCAACAAAGAACAUCGAGCGCCUCCUCCUACACACGCCUCGGGGCGUGGUCAGUGGGCGUGGUCAGUAGUGUGGGCAUCAGCACAGCCUUCCUGUUUGUCUGCUGCUUUGAGCUGGCCUCCUAGUGAUGCGUUCUUGUUUAUGAUUCAACCUUAAAGGAGAUGAUUGCUGUGUUGCAUGAAGUUGACUGAUGAUCUGAAAUUUUCUUAAAGAACAACUGAUUUCUUCGUCUUAAAAAGGAUGCUCCUGAGUCUUUUCAGUGGACUCUUCAGUUUUGUGAAUUAACAAGCCACAGAGUUCUAGACUAGGGAUAUUUUGUUUCAACCUCAACCAUGCUCCAACUUUCCUGGGCGAUGAAACACAGUUAUGCCAUUUUCUGCUUGAUUCUUCCAUUGACCACUGACACAAUCCACCAAGCCUCAAGAGGGCUGCCAGUUAAACUGAUGCCUGUCAACACUUGAUCGAAUAUGGGGCAAUAACUGGAUCCCAGGCUGCUGGACAAGAUGGCUCCAUACAACAGACAGUGACUAAUAGAUGCCCUGAAAUAUCCCUGGCUCAGUAAGGUAGAAGUCACCUGAGAAAUCAGCUUAAGAGGCAAAAAUGGAGGGAGAAGGUACCUUAAACAACAAACUUCACAAGGGUAGGUAGACAACAAACUCCACGAGGGUAGGCAUUUCCUCUGGUUUUUGUUUACAGUUGUAUUCCAGGUCUAGUGGCUGACAGAGUUGGUGUUCAACUCAAUAUUGAAUGAUUUAAUGAAGGAGAUUGAAGGAAGGACAAAACCCAGAGAAAGAUAACUCUCAUGAAGAUAUUGAAGCAGAGCUAUACACACAUGUAUGAAAUAAGAGUUAUGUGAAGAGCGUGCCCACAAGUGACCACUUAGGAUACCCCUGUUGCUAUGAUGCAUAACCCAAAAGUCAAGGCCAAGCUAACACUGUAGUUUUUCUCUUUACUGCAAGAAACAUUCUCAUCUAGACCACAUGCUCCUCCAAGGCAGGAGAGUUUCUUGUACCUCCUUUCACAGGAUCCUCUACUGUCUAGCGUACAUAAGAAGUUUUAAGUUGGAGAUGUAGCCCAAUGGGAAAAUGCUUGCCAAACACAAGCAAGACCCUCAAUUUCUCUCCCCACCAAAAGAACUAUUUCUGGACUAUUUCUGAACUAUUUCUGUUAAAAUUUAAAGGAAUAUGAAAGAGUUUGUUUUGUUGUUACUUGUUUUAUUCUCAGAGGGCAUAUGAAGUAAAAUACCCCAGAGCAGUGACUCUUACCACUGGGGGUUGGCAGCGGUAGGCAGACUUUUCUCAGGAAAUGCACAUUUUAUUUGGAAGGAGCUAUUGGGUGGGUAUCCUUGUCCUGUCCCUGUCUUCCUCUGAACCAGAGCCUCGAUAUUUACAGCAAUGUGUCCACGUGACAAAGCACAAAUCCUGAGUCUUCUUGCUGAUGGAAAAUCCGUGGGAACGCAUUCUGGCUAGAAGUGAAAAUGAGUGGGCAGGAGUCCCAGAAGUCUGCUUUAUAAGGAGGCGUGGCCCCUCCAGGAAGCUACUUACCUUUUCCCCUUUCCUCUCCCUGCCUGCAAAAUGGGCAUGGAAGUUCCUGAUGUGGUGGCUACAGGGCUGCCCUGAGGAUGGGAGCCACAUGCUAAGGAAGCAGGAAGAAGCCUGGACUCUGGUGAAACUGUGGAGAGGUCAGUUCUGGACUCCUAUCCUCCGGAUUCUUGUACAAGAAUGGGAAAAGAAACCUUUAACUCCUACCUGGAAAUGUGUAUACUAUUUCCAACUGUUCCCAGGCUCCCUAAGGCCUGUUGAUUGCCCAUGGCAUGAGGCCAUGCUCCACAUCAGAUCUCCACUGUCUUUGAGGACAACCAAACUGAGAACACAGUCUUUGCAUUUAAACAAAAUCAUCUCAAAAGAUGGAAUACAUACUCCUAUUUCUAAUUUCAGUGGAGAGAGACAACCAGUUGCACUUUCAGACAUUUAAAAGAAUUACGGCAACCUAUUUAAAGUAUUUGUAACAGGACAGAAGAUAGGAGUGUCCACAGCCUCUCGCUUUUUAGAGAAUAUUCUUGAUGACUUCUCGGACAGCUGUAGACAUGUAAAGAAAAGAAAGUGGAGAAACUGAAGACACUGCCUUCAUGUAACAAGAGAAACCCAAGUCAUUGGCGGCAGUGUCUGGGAUAGUGGCUGCAAAGGAAGGAGCGGGAACAGCGUGGGCUGUUUGAGGAAGGUUCUUCGGGGUUCAGAGAAGAAAUUUUAUCACCCUGUUUCAUGAGAAAGAGAUCUGGUAGAUACAGAAGAGAUCAGCCAAAAGGGUACAGACAGAGUCCCUGAACAUCCAUGGGGAAGGUCAUCAGAAGAUGGAGAUGGAUGGAGUCAGCGCUGCCUACGGAUGGAGGAAGACAACGGAUGGGAAAUGAACUUUGAAAUCAACGCCCUGGCUUUGGCAGGAGCCUUUUUGUCAGAUUGGAGACAAAACCAUGUUUGCAGUAGGGCUGAGAUAAAAUGAAAAGGGAAGUGUGGGGGAAGAAGGAGUCUGGGGUAAAAAUUUUAAAAAGUACCAGUGAAAAGUCAUAUAGAAAAAUGAGGCAAGACGACCAAAUGUGGAAGGAUGUUGUUCGUUUUUAAGACGUGAGGUCGCUUCAUGGGCUUAUGACAGUACCUAAGAGGAAAUGAAAGUAUUUUAGUGAUCUAAAUUGUUGCCUUUUUUUAUCUGAUUUAUAAUAUAUACAAUUUAGUAUGUUAUAUCACUCACAUACGUAUUUGAUAAUACAGCAAAUAAUAUUAAUAAAUGUGACUAGUGAAGUCACAAUCAUGCUGGUGUAAUCUUGGCUAACACUCUCCUCAUAGAAACUGUGUUGAAUAUAGGACCUCCAAAUUUGGCUGGUAAUGCCUAGCAACAAGGGGUAAUCGUUCAGCGGGAGCUUUUCUGGGUAGAAGAGCCUGUUCGGUGAACUUGGACGAUCACAGACACCGUUUCUAUUGAACAGUUAGCGCCACACAUGCAGCAUGCUAUGGGGAGAAUCCACUUGCUUUUGAAGCAGCUCUUGGCAUAUCAGAUCUUCUCUGGGCUAAGGUAACAUAACUUGCUAUGUCCCCAUUACACUUACUCCAGCAGCCAAGUGCUAAUGAUAACAUACGUAAAAACAGAC
Long non-coding RNA from Peromyscus californicus insignis, 6809 nucleotides. RefSeq lists it as uncharacterized. The transcript has 4 exons. Lineage: Eukaryota; Metazoa; Chordata; Mammalia; Rodentia; Cricetidae. The record is from RefSeq and is a predicted model, not a curated record.